GUUUUAUUAGAAGAAUAUUUAGAUCAAAGAGAGUCAAAAUGAAAAAUCAUUGCCUACCAUGAGAAAAAUUGUGGAAUCUACAAACUUAUUUGAAAGUGUUUGUCCGUGUUUUAUAUUUUCGAAACUUGUAAAAUUUAUCUUCCUCCAUUAUUUUGAAGAUUCGGAAACAACCUCUCUAUCUCCACAAGGUAGUGGUAAGGUCUGCUUACAUACUACCCUUCCCACACCCCACUUGAGGGAUUUCACUAGGUAUGUUGUUGUUUUUGUUGUCUCUUUGAAGAUCCAAGAGAGCUAUUCACUGAAAAACAACCCUGCAAUCAUACACCACUAAAAAAGUCAGAGCAGCUAUUCUAAUUCACUACAUAUGCUGGAGGGAUAUGCAUAUUCUUGCAUCAUGCUCUAGCCAAAUGCACCAAACACGAAUAAGAAACAGACAUUACAUAGUUUUCAGGAUGUUAGCAUUCCAAAACCCCCAAAACAUAAUGGUUGUCACUAUACUUCUCUCACGAACAUGUCAUAUUCCCAUUAUUUUAGCAGUGCUGCAGUUUCACUUCCUAGUGCUCUGCCCUUUUAUCGUACUUUUAUCUUCAUGCUAUAGUUGUUCUAUUUGUUGGAGAAGUGUUCUCACAAGUGAAUACAAUUAAGCUACAUAAAUACUUCUCUUUGAUCAUAAAAAUUGUGUGAACUUCUCGUAAUUUUCAUGAUUCUGUUACCUACUGGCGUGUUUUGCUUUUCAUAAACUGAAAUAGUUUAACGGAAUAGAGCUUCUUAGCUUUGGCAUAAGAGAGUUCAAUCUUC
This 798-nucleotide long non-coding RNA is filed under the name Solanum tuberosum (potato). Its description in RNAcentral is "long non-coding RNA (STUB_LNC007098)". Lineage: Eukaryota; Viridiplantae; Streptophyta; Magnoliopsida; Solanales; Solanaceae. The record is from RNAcentral.